UUCAGAGCCCAGCAGAAUGAAAUCCUCAGUUUAGCCACAAACAGGUACAGCACAGACAAUGCAAUCCUCUCCAUCCCAAUCUGCCACAGUGCCUGAGCCCUUUGUGACAGAGAAACCCACUGCUAGGGGCAAGAGUGGGAGCUUAUUCUUUCUGCCUCUUUCGGUCGUUGGUUUCU
This 176-nucleotide small RNA is filed under the name Sphenodon punctatus (tuatara). RNAcentral describes it as "TUC338 (ENSSPUG00000013928.1)". The record is from RNAcentral. Lineage: Eukaryota; Metazoa; Chordata; Lepidosauria; Sphenodontia; Sphenodontidae.